Molecule: long non-coding RNA, 1349 nt
Organism: Folsomia candida
Lineage: Eukaryota; Metazoa; Arthropoda; Collembola; Entomobryomorpha; Isotomidae
Exons: 5
Source: RefSeq, a predicted model, not a curated record
GUCACUACAUCUGCUAAUUUUUUUGUACGAAUGGAACGAUCAGCAGAUAUAGCAAACUAUUGAUUUGGUAGCAACGUUUUGAUCCCUCUCCAACAAUAUUCGACUUUUAAAAAUUACGCACCAUCUCUCAAAGUAGCGGAACUACGCAAUUUUAUAAUUUAGAAAUGACUUGGCGUGGCAAUCUUCCAAGCCUUGGCUCAAGUUCUAACUAUAGCCAACCAACAUCUUCGUGGAGCUGUCAAUUUACUGUUUCGGAUGGAUACCGGUCAGCGACACACGACUUUGCGACAGGUCAAUGGGCAUCUUCUCACACGCCUGUUCCAGCAUUUCAAGAGUUUCAAAGAGACGUAGCAGCCGCAGAACAAAGGCAACAGCAACUAUCUGCCACUACAGCUAAAGAAAUUGAGAAAUUAGCGUGGGAGAAGAACAAUGCGAAAAUUUUGACCAAUAGCUAUCAACAACGAGAAUACUUAGCGCAAGGGACACUUUUGUGGGAUAAGACUUCUCAAGAGGAAUGCAAACAAGAUCGGAUUGAAUCAAGCUAAGAGUUUUGUGUUUCUCAACUAAAAUCUGACGCUAUAGUCUCCCUUGAUGGUGGCGGAGACAAUGAAAUAGAUUCCAAAUUUCGGGAACGUUCUGCAAAAAUUGGCGAGUUGUUGAGUUUGUCAGCCAAUAUGCAGAAAGAAAGGGAAAAAUUUAUAGAUUUGGCAAAGGAAAUUCAAUCAAAUGGCAACUUUCCAAAUACGAUUGGUUUACAAAGGAAUUUGCCUGAAGUCAAGGCAUCAACUUCUAAAACAAGUUAGUAUGUAUAACUAAAAUCAAAUAAAAAUCAAUACGCCGUCGCAAAUAAAAAUUAAACUCUUUCUACAAGAAUAUGUAACUAUACACCUACUGUUCAUGUGAAAAAAGUAUGGCCUCAGAAGUUCUAAAAGGUUACCUGGCGGAAUUUGUUAUUUUUUAAAUAGAUUUUAUCCAUUACCAAUUUAUACUUUCGCCGUGCGUCACUCAAUAACAUAUUUGGGAUAACAACAAUUAGCCGGGUAAUUAUUGCCCAAUUAAACAAUUAUCCAAGUAUAAACCGGGCGUUAUACAAAUUUGUUCCGGUGUCAAAAUUCAGAUUUGCCAAGAAAUUAUGUUAUGCACAUGUUAGCUGCAAGGUAACCUUUUCGAGAAACUUGGCUCGGGGAAGGCCAUACGACAAAAUAUAUCUUGGAAACAGAGCUACAUUUCUUAUCGUGUGGGGGAAGGCUAUGCUUUUUUCAUAUGAGCAGGAGUUUCAUACAUAAUUAUCUGCAUAUCGUCGUACUAAUUCAGAAAAGACCUAAGUGCAGUGGAUGCUUUAUUCAGAA